This 327-nucleotide ribosomal RNA is filed under the name uncultured eukaryote. Its description in RNAcentral is "partial 18S ribosomal RNA". It matches the Rfam family "Eukaryotic small subunit ribosomal RNA", at positions 1470 to 1796 of the family's 1831-position model. The record is from RNAcentral.
CCCUUAGAUGUUCUGGGCCGCACGCGCGCUACACUGACGAAUGCAACGAGCUUAUAACCUUGGCCGAAAGGUCUGGGUAAUCUCCAAAUUUCGUCGUGAUGGGGAUAGAUUAUUGCAAUUAUUAAUCUUCAACGAGGAAUGCCUAGUAAGCGCAAGUCAUCAGCUUGCGUUGAUUACGUCCCUGCCCUUUGUACACAUCGCCCGUCGCUCCUACCGAUUGAAUGGUCCGGUGAAGCGUUCGGACCGUGGCCUUUGGACGGUUCGCCGUCUGUUGGCUGCGGGAAGUUCGUUAAACCUUAUCAUUUAGAGGAAGGAGAAGUCGUANCA